RNAcentral lists this long non-coding RNA (315 nucleotides) under Physcomitrium patens. RNAcentral's name for it is "long non-coding RNA (PPAT_LNC010248)". The record is from RNAcentral. Lineage: Eukaryota; Viridiplantae; Streptophyta; Bryopsida; Funariales; Funariaceae.
UGAAAUUGACACCUUAACUUUGAGCUCCAAUAAUUCCUUCAUAAAAACUUUAAAUCACACAAAAUUUACACCCAAUCCGUAUCCAAAAACCUAAACUUGCUGAUCUUAGCCUCCAAAGCUCAAAUGACUUCAAAAAAAAAACCCUAAUCCUUAAUAAGGCCUCGGGCAGCCUCCUUGAAGCCCAUUGGGCAUGGCCUUUGACCAAUAGGAAUAAAGAUCUCCAUUCCUUGCCUUCAUUCAACCAUGCUUUGCUUUUAUCCCUCCCAAUAAGCCUUCUAUUAGUUAAGAAUUUCUUCUUUAGAUUCUUAUCUCCUC